This 429-nucleotide ribosomal RNA is filed under the name Pseudomonadota bacterium. RNAcentral describes it as "Proteobacteria bacterium partial 16S ribosomal RNA". It matches the Rfam family "Bacterial small subunit ribosomal RNA", at positions 355 to 776 of the family's 1533-position model. The record is from RNAcentral. Lineage: Bacteria; Pseudomonadati; Pseudomonadota.
UGGGGAAUAUUGGACAAUGGGCGAAAGCCUGAUCCAGCCAUGCCGCGUGUGUGAAGAAGGUCUUCGGAUUGUAAAGCACUUUAAGUUGGGAGGAAGGGCAGUAAGCGAAUACCUUGCUGUUUUGACGUUACCGACAGAAUAAGCACCGGCUAACUCUGUGCCAGCAGCCGCGGUAAUACAGAGGGUGCAAGCGUUAAUCGGAAUUACUGGGCGUAAAGCGCGCGUAGGUGGUUCGUUAAGUUGAAUGUGAAAGCCCCGGGCUCAACCUGGGAACUGCAUCCAAAGCGGGCGAGCUAGAGUAGGGCAGAGGGUGGUGGAAUUUCCUGUGUAGCGGUGAAAUGCGUAGAUAUAGGAAGGAACACCAGUGGCGAAGGCGACCACCUGGGCUCAUACUGACACUGAGGUGCGAAAGCGUGGGGAGCAAACAGG